RNAcentral lists this ribosomal RNA (477 nucleotides) under uncultured Oceanospirillales bacterium. RNAcentral's name for it is "bacterial SSU rRNA". It matches the Rfam family "Bacterial small subunit ribosomal RNA", at positions 97 to 570 of the family's 1533-position model. Lineage: Bacteria; Pseudomonadati; Pseudomonadota; Gammaproteobacteria; Oceanospirillales. The record is from RNAcentral.
GGCGGACGGGUGAGUAACGCGUAGGAAUCUACCUAAUGGUGGGGGAUAGCCCAGGGAAACUUGGAUUAAUACCGCAUAAGUCCUAAGGGAGAAAGCGGGGGAUCUUCGGACCUCGUGCCAUUAGAUGAGCCUGCGUAAGAUUAGCUAGUUGGUGAGGUAAGAGCUCACCAAGGCGACGAUCUUUAGCUGGUCUGAGAGGAUGAUCAGCCACACUGGGACUGAGACACGGCCCAGACUCCUACGGGAGGCAGCAGUGGGGAAUAUUGGACAAUGGGGGCAACCCUGAUCCAGCCAUGCCGCGUGUGUGAAGAAGGCCUUCGGGUUGUAAAGCACUUUCAGCAGUGAGGAAAGGUUACAGAUUAAUACUCUGUAGCUGUGACGUUAACUGCAGAAGAAGGACCGGCUAACUCCGUGCCAGCAGCCGCGGUAAUACGGAGGGUCCGAGCGUUAAUCGGAAUUACUGGGCGUAAAGCGCGC